RNAcentral lists this ribosomal RNA (431 nucleotides) under uncultured bacterium. RNAcentral's name for it is "partial 16S ribosomal RNA". It matches the Rfam family "Bacterial small subunit ribosomal RNA", at positions 29 to 507 of the family's 1533-position model. The record is from RNAcentral.
AACGAACGCUGGCGGCAGGCUUAACACAUGCAAGUCGAACGCCCCGCAAGGGCAUUGGCAGGCGGGUGAGUAACGCGUGGGAACAUACCCUUUCCUGCGGCCUACCCUCGGGAAACUGGAAUUAAUACCGCAUACGCCCUACUGGGGAAAGGUUUAUCGGGGUAGGAUUGGCCCGCGUUGGAUUAGCUGGGGGGUGGGGUAAAGGCCUGCCAAGGCGACGAUCCAUAGCUGGGCUGAGUGGAGGAUAAGUCACGUUGGGACUGAGACACGGCCCAAACUGCGACGCGGGGCAGCAGUGGGGAAUAUUAGACGAGGAGCGCAAGUCUAGUCAAGCCGUGCGGGGGGAGUGAUGCAGGCGUUAGGAUUGUAAAGCUGUUUGUGCGAUGGAGAUAAUGACGGUAGUCGGAGAAGAAGCCCCGGCUAACUUCGUG